RNAcentral lists this ribosomal RNA (236 nucleotides) under uncultured bacterium. RNAcentral's name for it is "partial 16S ribosomal RNA". It matches the Rfam family "Bacterial small subunit ribosomal RNA", at positions 524 to 758 of the family's 1533-position model. The record is from RNAcentral.
UACGAAGGGGGCUAGCGUUGCUCGGAAUCACUGGGCGUAAAGGGUGCGUAGGCGGGUCUUUAAGUCAGGGGUGAAAUCCUGGAGCUCAACUCCAGAACUGCCUUUGAUACUGAGGAUCUUGAGUUCGGGAGAGGUGAGUGGAACUGCGAGUGUAGAGGUGAAAUUCGUAGAUAUUCGCAAGAACACCAGUGGCGAAGGCGGCUCACUGGCCCGAUACUGACGCUGAGGCCACGAAA